This 298-nucleotide long non-coding RNA is filed under the name Salvia miltiorrhiza (redroot sage). RNAcentral's name for it is "long non-coding RNA (SMIL_LNC013174)". Lineage: Eukaryota; Viridiplantae; Streptophyta; Magnoliopsida; Lamiales; Lamiaceae. The record is from RNAcentral.
UUUUUGGCGCAGGAUUUGCAUGGAGUGUAGAAGAAGGUUCGUGGAAGGAGAAAGUUCGAGAAUAGCGUGAAUUUGAAGAAGAAAGCGUAUUUUUAUGGAGAUAUUUAGAGAUUAGGCUUGGAGUAAAUUAUUUUACAUUUAAUUAAGUCCAAAACUCUUUUUUUUUUUUUUUUUUUGAGGAAUUUAAGUCCAAAACUCUUACUUCUAAUUUUUUUGGAGCUUAUUGAAAAGGCCGAAAAGCCCAUGUCUUUGGGUUGGACGACACCUUAGGGAUUCUUUUAAUCCUUUAGUUGGGAAC